UAAGGGGAAGCCGAAAACCUUUACCAAGAGUAGGCA
Chryseobacterium arachidis is the source of this 36-nucleotide non-coding RNA. The record is from Rfam. NCBI's taxonomy places the organism in Bacteria, Pseudomonadati, Bacteroidota, Flavobacteriia, Flavobacteriales, Weeksellaceae.